Molecule: long non-coding RNA, 4568 nt
Organism: Brienomyrus brachyistius
Lineage: Eukaryota; Metazoa; Chordata; Actinopteri; Osteoglossiformes; Mormyridae
Exons: 2
Source: RefSeq, a predicted model, not a curated record
GAAUGUGGCUUUGUGGGAAACUGGGCCUCACUUUGCAGCUUGGACAGCAGGAAGACAAUGUGGUGAGGAUUUGUGAAGAGCCUGUGACAAUUCUACAGGAAUCUCACAGCACACUGUCACAGGCACUGAUUAAGGGUGUUUAUCAUUUAUUUAUAUGCAUUACAUUUCUGUACCAUUUCAUCCUGGAUAUCCUGCAGUUUCUCUCUCUCUCUUUCUCUCUGUUUCACUCUCUCUCUCUCUACCCGCUAACUAAUUCUGGGAUGGUUCUACAAUGAUACUCCGUACAGUAUGUUCCCUGUUGCCAUUUUUAGAUAGUGGGAUAACUGUACCACCAGGGGUGUAAUUUGUCUCUCCUCUGCACCCCAGCCGUGCACGAAAUAAGACUGGCUCCUGCAAGCCCAUGAACUCUGUGUAUCAAAUCAAGGCUCCGAUGGGACUUUGCCAGCUCUACAAACUAUUUAUGGCUCACUGGAUCAAUCAGCACAGGACUGGCACACAAAUAUCCUUCAUCGGGCAUCUUUUUUAGAAAAAAGUGAAGAGGCACAUGGGUAUAUGCUGCCUGUCUGCUAGAAACUUUUGGUGACCCAAUCAGUUAUUCUAGUCGUUGUAGAGCUUUCCAUGUGGAUACUUUUAUGUUUGAUUGUGCACUUAUUACAGUGUUUGUGCAUGUGUAUCUUCUGUGUGAAUGAUGUAUGACUUUCAGCAUGGAUUUUGACAGGAAUCACUGGUUUAGCCUUGACCUGUGAACCUUUCUCACUCAUCAUAAUCACGUGGGUGAACAACCUUUAGCAAAAGGUUUUUAGACACAGCCAGACAAGAAUAGCAAAAAUAUGUAGUAGUUGAACACAAUAAUAGUGAUCUAGCUGGAGUGGGCCUUUGAUACCCCUAUUUUUAUUGUACCCUGUUAUGUGGCUGAUGUAUUUAUUGUUUGUCCCCCCUCCCCAUUUCGCACUAUCCUAGGUUUUGCACUUUUACUACUCUGAAAACCCUUGUUGUUGCUGUUUGCGCCAUAUUUAUGUGCACGGGUGGUAUGACAAUGAAAUCCACUUGACAUGACCUUACUUGACCAUAGGGGUCUGACUCAGGGUAGACGUUCAAUCAGCUGCCGUCCGCCUCAUCAUUAUUUAGCCUAUUAUGGUGUGCGGUGCUUUACGUGAUUCUGCUGACACCUAAGCAUGGUGCAGUUUCUGAAAACUUUCCUACCCUCGCCCUCGCCUCCCUCUCCUUUCUUUGCCUUUUUAUGCACCCUCCUGCUUGAAUGGGAUAUUGUUUGUCCCUCCCACCCUGACUCCACUGGACAACAUUAUGCAUCCAGAUCGGUCCACGCUAGAUUGGGAGGUCCAGCUCUGCUAGCAUUCGUCACACUAACAGUGGUGAAAACACAGAGUUUAGCAUAACGCCGAUGCUGCACGCCCUGCUGAUACAGGCCUCCCUUUAUGUGGCCUGUAAUCUGAGCUUUUAGGACCUGGCCUGUCCUUCUCUUUCCUGAAUGGGAUGCCGCUGGGCUUGCUCUCUUUCCGGAGUUUUCUCUUUGCUUACCUCGGCACUGUGAUUAUAGUGCGUCUGCAGCGGCACGAGCUCAUUUUUGCUGAGUGGACACUAGUCCUGGGUCAGUUUGCAAAAAAAUCUCUCUGUCUGGCCUGCGCAAGGCCAACAAAAAUAAGGAUUAAUUUCAGGUCUCUUUUCCCGAUCAUCAGUGCGAUUCCCGUUUCAGUGGAUAGACCUCCUGCCUCAGCUAAUGUGACAGUUUAAAGCAGAGCCCCCCAAUUCUGAGUCCUGGGGGGCCAGAAUCCGACAUAGUCUGCAGAUUUCCCUACUCAACACACACCUUAAUCAGCUAAUUACCAGGUUUAAUAGGUAUGUCUAAGCAGGGAAAUCUGCAAACUGUGUUGCAAACUGCCCCCCCCCCCAGGACCUGAAUUGGGGAACCCUGGCUUAAAGUAAUAAUAACAUAUAAUCUUAUUGCUUUGCAUUUUUAGCUGCUGUCAUGGGCAUUAAUUUUCAGCGGCUGCAUAUGUCUUAGAGAGUACAAUGUUCUUAUGUAUAGAGGUCGUCAAAUGGAUCAAACCACUCAUAUCUCACCACUGCUCUGGGAGUUUUAAGGCUCCUCAAGUACAAUUUUCUCGAAUAGCCAAAUGUGCACUACCCCUUUACACUGAAAUAAAGCAAUUUCUUUUGCUUUAAACGAGUAGGAAAUGCACUGCAAUUUAAAACUAUGCUUUCUGCGAAGGUAAGUGUAGCUGAGUGAUAACAUUCAUUCAGGUGGGUCUGUACAGUUGUAUUAUGUUAAAUCUAUUCAAAUUCAUACGCCCUUUAGUUGCAGAGCACAUAUACUGUAAGAGUAUGUAUAUGAUUUCAGUUAAAAUAUAAACAGAUUUUUUAUGCUUAUAUGUACAGUUUGUUGCCUUUUUAAAUGUCUGAGCAGCCUUUGUUAUAUUGAAAAAGGAGAGCGUUAUAACCGCUUACCCCAUACAGUGUCAUAGGGAGCCCAUAGCCUUUAUCAGGAAACAAAUGUUUAAACAGAGUACUUUUUUGAUGUUUUGAAUUCGCCAUUAUAGACCUUUCCAUUGUUUGCCCUGGUAAGGGCUGUGGGUCCCUCUGUUUAUUCAUCACAGUAGCCUUAGUCAUUUAUCGUUUACGCUUUAUUGCUCUUGUUGAGUUUUAUUUUAAAGCGGUACAUUUGGUCAGAGAGGACAAUCGCAGCCACACCUAAAUCCACAGGCAAAAGGAAAGCAGAGAAACUGAAGGAAGAUGAGCACGAUCAGCAGGAAGCCAUGCGCAGCUUCGCAGAUGAAGGACUGGGUUCAGAUUGAAACACUCACACAGCAUCUCGCUUUUUGAACCACACUAGGGUGAAGCACAGAGGCCGACUCACGCAGGAGCAGAUGCAGCACUUCUCCGGUCAACCUUGGCACGCCUCCUGUUGGUAACUGUGACAGCGGCCCGCUGGCCGACAGGAGUGCGUAUUGAGAAUGCGCACGACUUCUUUCAAUGUGUCCAGAUGCGUAUAAAAGGACACGGCAAACCAGAGUCGCGACUGGGCUGAAAGAACAGAGCCAGCGUGAAAGAAACUGUGAAAACGAGGUAUUUACAUUGCAUACAAAUUAUUCCGCAAAUCGGCAGUCUGCUAUAUCCAGGUAAUCUUACAGGUAAUUGAGUAGUUCAUUUUCCAGGCUUAAAAAAAGCCUUUUCGUUUCGGUUCAUUUUUAGUAGUGGACUUGUAUUUUUAUUGAUGAUGAAUUCUUUACAGGUUCACACAGUAAUUACUGAAUUGGCAAACUGAUUUAUCAUGAUUCAUGGGCUCUGGUUGGACCGUGGGUCUCUCUGCAUGUUGGCCCCACCGCUGAUGUGACGAGUCCCAAGGGUCCACCGGGGCUCGAGGAAGGCGAAUCCAACGGCAGCCAAAUCGCUAUUUUAUUUUUUUCAGGCGCUUCUCUGACUUUACAUUUAGAUUCAGCACUGUGAGCUGUGCUGUGAAAUGAAAUUCACGUCUCUGCCCUCCUCUGAUGCAAUUUUAAAGCUGUACUAUGAUGUGGAGGAGAGGAAAAACGCCACCUAGAUUUGACAGGGAUCAGGAUCUUCCCCUUUUUUCUCAGCGUCCGGAACAUUAUCAGGAAUGUGACGCUAUGAUAAUUGAAGAAGGCAAGAAAACAGCAUCCAUCAUCGUCUCUCUAACCUGUUGCUGAUAUGACAAGAGUGGCUAUGAAAUGAAAGCUAGGCGAUGGAGAAAAAUUGAUUUUGCGGCCAGGUCUCAUUUGCUUAAUUGCUUCAGUUUCCCUUGAUUAGUGGUUUGGGUGGUCAAAGCAAUGGGUCUGGUCCAACUGAGAAGACUUCUGCUGGCAUCUUCCCAGCCGAGCGAUACAUUUUUGGAGGUCACUGUAUGUUUUUUUUUAGCUGUUGUGGAGGUGGUGCGCAAUGUCAGCGGGACGGUUCUGUAUGUGAGACAGCGGUAUGUAAGAUGCUGUAAUGAUGCUGUAUAUAUUUUGCUCAUCUACUGAGCAUAAGGCAUGAGAAGUGAAAAGUGCAAGCUUCUGCCUGGUCUACACAGCCGUCCUAGAAAAUUCACAGUGCAUAGAACACCUCAGUGGUGCCAUAGAGCUUGACAGGAAUGUGCAGUUUCUUUUCUAGAACCUUCUCCUUUGAAUAUGACUCUUGAAUUGAAUAUACUCUUGAGUAAGGUAUAACAGACCUUAUCUAAAAAAUGAAACGCUAAUAAAGAUAUAGCUCACUAAGUUAUUCUUGCAAUAGAACAGAACAAUAAAAAGGUGAUCGCUACCGUCUUCAAAUUAAGCCUAUGAAAAUCUAUACAAAAUUGACACAUUGUUCUCACUUCUGUGUUUACAGCAGCAGAAUCACACUCCUCCAGCAGAGGAGAUGGUUAUAGGGAAUGUGGCUGGUGUUUAUGAGAUGGCAGGACAGCGGUUUGUUUCACUCUCACUGGGAAUUGGAUGUACUUUUUGCAGUUUGUGGUUUGUUGUUAAUUUUGAAUUAGAAAUUCAGUUAAAUAUUAUGUUAUAUUUUAUUAAAAGACCUGAAUGAACUGAAAUUAAAUAAAAGACUGUAAGAAA